RNAcentral lists this ribosomal RNA (245 nucleotides) under uncultured Lysobacter sp. RNAcentral's name for it is "partial 16S ribosomal RNA". It matches the Rfam family "Bacterial small subunit ribosomal RNA", at positions 524 to 768 of the family's 1533-position model. The record is from RNAcentral. Lineage: Bacteria; Pseudomonadati; Pseudomonadota; Gammaproteobacteria; Lysobacterales; Lysobacteraceae.
UACGAAGGGUGCAAGCGUUACUCGGAAUUACUGGGCGUAAAGCGUGCGUAGGUGGUUUGUUAAGUCUGAUGUGAAAGCCCUGGGCUCAACCUGGGAAUGGCAUUGGAAACUGGCUUACUAGAGUGCGGUAGAGGGUAGCGGAAUUCCCGGUGUAGCAGUGAAAUGCGUAGAUAUCGGGAGGAACAUCCGUGGCGAAGGCGGCUACCUGGACCAGCACUGACACUGAGGCACGAAAGCGUGGGGAG